UUUAAUAAUAAGUUGUAAUUUAACAGGUUACGCUUAUUUUGAAAUAUCCAAAAAUAGUUGAUGUACCUAUAGAGUUUGGAAUGAUAUACAAUAAGUUUUUAUAGUUUGCUAUAAAUCCUAUGAUCAUAAAGAUUGUCUCAAAUAUUAAUUUUACCCCAUAUAUUGAGAUUGAUGAUUUUUUGAAUGCGAUUAACAAUUUUCGCACACCUUGGUGCUAAAAAAAUUCACCGGUUGGUUGAAAUUAGUUUUUGAGGAGAUUUAUAAAAUCAAGAGAUUUAUAGGAACCUACAGGAACUGGUUUCAUCUAAUUCCGAGAUUUCUAGGUACUUCAACCAGCUUUGGAAAUGCUAAAUUUAUAUAAAAAAAGGGGUCAAUUCUGCGACGAAUUUUGAAAUUCGUCGCAAAUCAGCGACGAACUUUGACAUUCGUCGCAGAUCAGCGACAAAUUUAAAAAUUCGUUGCAGAUUUUGCGACGAAUUUAUAUAUUCAUCGCAGAUUCUGCGACGAAUUUUGAAACUCGUCGCAGAUUCUGCGACGAAUUUUGAAAGUCGUCACAGAUUCUUCGACGAAUUUUGAAACUUGUCGCUGAAUUGACCAUUGUUAUUUUUAAAAAAUAAACUUUCCGAAGCCGAUUGAGAUACCUGGAGAGAUCAGAAUGACAUGAAACAAGUUUCCAUGGGUUGCUAUAAAUCUCCUGAUUAUAAAGAUAGCUUCAAAUAUUAAUUUUACCCAAUAUAUUGAGAUCGUUGAUUUUUUUAAAUGUGAUUAACAAUUUUUGUACACCUUCGCGUAAAAAAAAUCACCGGUCAGGUAAAAUUAGUGUUUGAAGAGAUUUAUAAAAUUAGCGGAUUUAUAGGAAUUCUUAGGAACUGAUUUCAUUUAAUUCCGAGCUCUAUAAAUGUCUCAAUGAAAAACUAAAUUUAUAUAUUUAAAAAAGAAUUACUUUUGCGAUGAAUUUCAAAAUUCGUCACAGAUUAGCAACGAAUUUCAAAAUUCGUUGCAAAUCAGCAAUGAAUUUCAAAAUUCGUCGCAGAUUCAACUACGAAUCUAACAACGAAUUAAUCUAUGUGGCAAAAAAGAAAAACCUAACUUUUUAACUCACCCGUUCCUUUCCCCUUUGCCCUAAUUUGCCUUGGCAGCGACGACGCGUGGAGGUGAUUCCCGUCCUCUUCAUACCUCUUUUCCUUCUCCGACGGGUCUUCCGGCAUUCGUCCGCCGGCAGCUGGCUCUCUCCUGCCGCAGGAGGCCGUUGCUAGCACUGGCCGCCCGCGGGAGCCCUCGCUUGGCGCUGGCAGGUCGCACCUGGCUCUGGCCGGCCGCGGGAGACCGCGCCUGGCGCUGUCCGGCCGCGGGAGGCCGUGCCUGGCUUAGGUAGGCUGCGAGAGGCCGCACUUGGCUCUGGCCGACCGCGGGAGGCUGCCCCAGGCGCUGGCUGGCCACCGGAGGCCGCGCCUAGCUCUCGGCAGGCGCGGGACGCCUAUGGUGUAAUGGGCCUAGGGCAGUUUCCUGCGAUGUAGAAGGUCAAGUUAGGGAUCGCGGCGGUGACGCUGGUGCCGAUUCACGUGGUUGCAAGGGUGUUGAUACCCGUGCUUUACUACCUUAUCUUCCGGUUCUGCACGCUGUUCUCGCCUCCGAGUUGGGAGAAUGGCCAGGAGGACUAUGCUCACAUGACAGGGUGGAGGAGGGCGGUGGUUGUGCAGUGAGGGAGAUUCGCCUCUAGAGCAAUGCUCUUUACGUUUGGUUUCUAUUGGAUCAAAGAGAGUCACAUGAGUCUCGACAAUGACGUAUUACCAGAUUGGGUUAGAACUAUCUCUCCAAGUUUUAAUUAAGUUGUUGAUUCAUUCUUUAUCCCUUGAUUUAUUGUUUCUUGUUCAGUUCAUGAUGUUGAAUGUUCCUUUUAUUCAUCUUAAACAGCAUUAUUAUUGUUUUUAAUGACAACUUAGUGAUCAAUUCACUUAAAAAUCAUCAAGAAAUACCUCCUACAUGCGUAAGUUUUUUUACUUUCCUGAAGGGUGAUACCAAAUGAGAAGAUGGUGAAAUAGAUCCAAAGGUAUAUGCAAACUUUUUAAUAAUGAUAAUUUGUGACAACAAAAUGAGGCGAUGGUGAAAUAUUUUCGAAGUUUCUUGUUCUGUUCAUGCUGUUACGCGCCCCUAUUAUUCGAUACCAAAAUUCUAAAACCAUGUUUCUUGAUGUAAAUCAUUGAACUGGUCUUUUAAACAAAUAUAACUCUUCAUGCUUUGGAGAUUUUCCUCUUUCAGAUGUAGGAACCUCUAUAGAACAUUAGAUGUAAAUCUUAUAUUAUUUUUCUAAACUCCAUAAUUUUUGAAAUUAGGUCAAUGAAUUUGAAAAGUCAUAUGCAGUUGUCUCAAAUCAUAUUUCUUAUGUGGAUAUUCUUUAUCAUACGUCAUCAGCCUUUCCAAGUUUUGUUGCAAAGAGAUCAGUAGCUCAGCUUCCCUUGGUUGGUGUCAUCAGGAUUGGUCAACUGCAAUGAAAAUCAAUGUCGGAGAAAAAAAGAAUAUUCGAAGAAGAUGGAGAAGAUUUAGUGAUGUUUGGAUAUUUGUUGAUGUAUGGAUAGUUUAAAACUUCUUAUGAUAUUUGGAUUGUAUGGAUAUUAGACCUUUUUGAUGUAUGAAAUGUUUUGGAUUGUAUGGAUA
Molecule: long non-coding RNA, 2655 nt
Organism: Zingiber officinale
Lineage: Eukaryota; Viridiplantae; Streptophyta; Magnoliopsida; Zingiberales; Zingiberaceae
Exons: 4
Source: RefSeq, a predicted model, not a curated record